RNAcentral lists this ribosomal RNA (191 nucleotides) under uncultured bacterium. RNAcentral describes it as "partial 16S ribosomal RNA". It matches the Rfam family "Bacterial small subunit ribosomal RNA", at positions 1309 to 1500 of the family's 1533-position model. The record is from RNAcentral.
AACCCGCCUGCAUGAAGUUGGAAUCGCUAGUAAUCGCGGAUCAGCAUGCCGCGGUGAAUACGUUCCCGGGCCUUGUACACACCGCCCGUCACACCAUGAGAGUCGGGAACACCCGAAGUCCGUAGUCUGACCGCAAGGGGACGCGGCCGAAGGUGGGUUCGAUAAUUGGGGUGAAGUCGUAACAAGGUAUC